RNAcentral lists this long non-coding RNA (1196 nucleotides) under Olea europaea (common olive). RNAcentral describes it as "long non-coding RNA (OEUR_LNC012929)". The record is from RNAcentral. Lineage: Eukaryota; Viridiplantae; Streptophyta; Magnoliopsida; Lamiales; Oleaceae.
AAAAAAACUUGUUCCCCAGUAAGCCGAUUUUAGAACUAUGUAAAAAUUGAUAUGAAAAGACAACUCUUUUGGUAGAUAAUUCCUAGAUUUUAUCUUCCCCGAUAAGCCAUGAGAAUGUAACCCACAACACGAGCACAGAUCAAUAUCAUUCAAUUCAUACAAGAAUUAUCGGACCCACUGCUGACCAACAAGGUCAUAAAAGGUUGCCUUCUCAGAAAUCUACAAUAUUCAGAGUACUAAUAAUUUCAACAAGUAAACCAUCUCUAGUUGAUAAUAAUUUUUUUUCAGAAAAUUAACUUUGUUCCACAACCCAAAAUGCUUAUUUCAAGGACUUAAUAAAUAAUAUUAUACCUGAGAUAAUCCUUUUACAGCAUUAAUUACAUGGAACUUCAACGUACUACAUAGUGUUAGGUAAUUUGCCUUGUGUGUGUGUAGAAAGACAUAUCAUAUAACCACCUUUAAGUAAACUAUAAAUACCAUUUACUAAAAUAAUAAAAUUAGAUGGAAUUGAAGAGAAAUUAAAUUAUAAUUGACAAAAUGUCCUUUCACAAUAAAGUGACCUUGUUUAUCUACUUGACUAAUUUUUAGGAGACAUUUUCUCUCUCCCCCAAUAUUUGAACCAAGGAAAAGAAAGAAAUCACUUAGACAAAGAUUCAAUCCUCUCAAUUAAAUGUUACUUUUCCGGUUUUCCUUGAGAAAAAUUUAUAUGAAAAAUAUAACAAGAAGAAGCAUCCCAUUGUUAGAGUGAACUGAGCUAUGCUUUGAACAUAAGAUGUGAAGAUAAAUGGUUGUUUUGGAGCAUCAAAAGUGUGAAAUAUUACUUUUACUAUAUCUGGCAAUGAAUCAUUGUUUGGUCUUCAAGAUCAGUAUUUCUUGGAAAGUUAACUAAGAGCUUGUUUGGUAUGAAUUUUGAUAAUUGAUUUUUUGACCAUUAGAGAUGAAAUGGGUUCUACCCAUGAGAGAAGAAUUCAAAAAUGACGACUAGAAUAGUGAAAUAACAGUCAAAAAAUUAAUUUUAAUUGACUUUUAAUCCGUAACAAACAAGCACUAAAUAUCAUUUUCCCAUCGCAAUCAAAACAACUCAUUUAGCUCCAGAAUAUCAUAUAUAAGUCCUGUUUGGGCCCCAUUAAUUUCUUGUAAUGUGUUAUGGAAUAUUAAAUUGAUAGAAAAUAUAUGGUUAAAAAGGAAAAAGUUUU